AUACGGAGGAUCCGAGCGUUAUCCGGAUUUAUUGGGUUUAAAGGGAGCGUAGGCGGACGCUUAAGUCAGUUGUGAAAGUUUGCGGCUCAACCGUAAAAUUGCAGUUGAUACUGGGUGUCUUGAGUACAGUAGAGGCAGGCGGGAUUCGUGGGGUAGCGGUGAAAUGCUUAGAUAUCACGAAGAACUCCGAUUGCGAAGGCAGCCUGCUGGACUGUAACUGACGCUGAUGCUCGAAAGUGUGGGUAUCAAACAGGAUUAGAUACCCUGGUAGUCCACACAGUAAACGAUGAAUACUCGCUGUUUGCGAUAUACAGUAAGCGGCCAAGCGAAAGCGUUAAGUAUUCCACCUGGGGAGUACGCCGGCAACGGUGAAACUCAAAGGAAUUGACGGGG
Molecule: ribosomal RNA, 393 nt
Filed under: uncultured bacterium
Lineage: Bacteria
Description: partial 16S ribosomal RNA
Rfam family: Bacterial small subunit ribosomal RNA
Source: RNAcentral